Molecule: long non-coding RNA, 29933 nt
Filed under: Triticum aestivum (bread wheat)
Lineage: Eukaryota; Viridiplantae; Streptophyta; Magnoliopsida; Poales; Poaceae
Description: long non-coding RNA (TAES_LNC020805)
Rfam family: MIR1120/MIR1122 microRNA precursor family (bases 29019-29143)
Source: RNAcentral
AAAAAAAAAUCCUACGCACACGCAAGAUCAUGGUAAUGUAUAGCAACGAGAGGGAAGAGUGUUGUCCACGUACCCUCGUAGACCGUAAGCGGAAGCGUUAUGACAACGUGGUUGAUGUAAUCAUAUGUCUUCACGAUCGACCGAUCCUAGCACCGAAGGUACGGCACCUCCGCGAUCUGCACACGUUCGGCUCGGUGAUGUCCAACGAACUCACGAUCCAGUAGAUCUUCGAGGGAGAGCUUCGUCAGCACGACGGCGUGAUGACGGUGAUGAUGAUGCUACCGGAACAGGGCUUCGCCUAAGCACCAUUACGAUAUGACCGAGGUGGAUUAUGGUGGAGGGGGCACCGCACACGGCUGGAAACAAUCAACUUGUGUGUUCUAGGGUGACCCCCUACCCCCAUAUAUAAAGGAGCAAGGGGGGGGGCGGCCGGCCUAGGGGAGCGCCAAGGAGAGGGGGAGUCCUCCUCCUAGUAGGAGGAGGACUCCCCUUUUCCUAUUCCAACUAGGAAGGGGGAAGGGGAAAGGAAGGAGAGGAAGAGAGGGAGGAAAGAGGGGGCGCCGCCCCCCCCCCCUCCUUGUCCAAUUCGGACUCCAAAUGGGGGGGGCGCGGCCAGCCCUAGGCCCUCUCCUCUCUGUCCCACAAGGCCCAUGUUGGCCCAUUAGUUCCCCCGGGGGUUUCGAUAACCCCCCAGCACUCCGAUAAAUAUCCGGUGACCCUCGAAACUCAUCCGGUGUCUGAAUAUAGUCGUUCAAUAUAUCAAUCUUUAUGUCUCGACCAUUUCGAGACUCCUCAUCAUGUCUGUGAUCACAUCCGGGACUCCGAACUAUCUUCGAUACAUCAAAACACAUAAACUCAUAAUAUCGAUCGCCACCGAACGUUAAGCGUGCGGACCCUACGGGUUCGAGAACUAUGUAGACAUGAUCGAGACAUGUCUCCGGUCAAUAACCAAUAGCGAAACCUGGAUGCUCAUAUUGGCUCCUACAUAUUCUACGAAGAUCUUUAUCGGUCAAACCGCAUAACAACAUACGUUGUUCCCUUUGUCAUCGGUAUGUUACUUACCCGAGAUUCGAUCGUCGGUAUCUCAAUACCUAGUUUAAUAUCGUUACCGGCAAGUCUCUUUACUCGUUCCAUAAUGCAUCAUCCCGCAACUAACUCAUUAGUCACAUUUCUUGCAAGGCUUAUAGAGAUGUGCAUUGCCGAGAGGGCCCGGAGAUACCUCUCCGACAAUCGGAGUGACAAAUCCUAAUCUAGAUCUAUGGCAACUCAACAAACACCAUUGGAGACACCUGUAGAGCACCUUUAUAAUCACCCAGUUAUGUUGUGACGUUUGGUAGUAGACAAAGUGUUCCUCCGCUAUUCGGGAGUUGCAUGAUCUCAUAGUCAUAGGAACAUGUAUAAGUUAUGGAGAAAGUAAUAGCAACAAACUAAACGAUCAUCGUGCUAAGCUAACGGAUGGGUCAAGUCAAUCACAUCAUUCUCUAAUGAUGUGACCCCGUUAAUCAAAUGGCAACUCAUGUCUAUGGUUGAGAAACAUAACCAUCAUUGAUUCAACGAGCUAGUCAAUUAGAGGCAAACUAGUGACACUCUGUUUGUCUAUGUAUUCACACAUGUACUAAGUUUCCGGUUAAUACAAUUCUAGCAUGAAUAAUAAACAUUUAUCAUGAUAUAAGGAAAUAUAAAUAACAACUUAAUUGUUGCCUCCAGGGCAUAUUUCCUUCAACCCCCCCCCCCCUCAUGUCAGCAAGAAGGGAAUCNNNNNNNNNNNNNNNNNNNNNNNNNNNNNNNNNNNNNNNNNNNNNNNNNNNNNNNNNNNNNNNNNNNNNNNNNNNNNNNNNNNNNNNNNNNNNNNNNNNNNNNNNNNNNNNNNNNNNNNNNNNNNNNNNNNNNNNNNNNNNNNNNNNNNNNNNNNNNNNNNNNNNNNNNNNNNNNNNNNNNNNNNNNNNNNNNNNNNNNNNNNNNNNNNNNNNNNNNNNNNNNNNNNNNNNNNNNNNNNNNNNNNNNNNNNNNNNNNNNNNNNNNNNNNNNNNNNNNNNNNNNNNNNNNNNNNNNNNNNNNNNNNNNNNNNNNNNNNNNNNNNNNNNNNNNNNNNNNNNNNNNNNNNNNNNNNNNNNNNNNNCUAGCAAAGUGCAAAGUAGCUAGCAGCCCCCACCCCCUCGUGUCGCCACGAAGGGAAUCCUAAUUAAGCUAUGAAUGCAUGCCCCCCAACCGAGGUUCACCUAGCAAAGUGUGAUGUAGCAACCCCCCCAGACACACACACUUUCAGUCGGCGGGCCAGAGAGGCAUAUAUCUCACCAAGAUGGAUCGUAAAACGGACCAAGAAUAAUCCACCUUGGUCGUACGACCUCUCCCUUGUUGUUGGUCAAAGUGAUGGCCGUCCAUGCAACCCCGGAGAUGGGCUAGCUCGCCAAUAAUCAUGCAAGUAGCUAGUCCGCGAAGACAACCACUGCAUGCGUGUGGCCCAAACAUAUGUAUGGAGAGGUGUGUUUUUGAGUAACAAUGGAACAACUUUGAUGUGGCACCGUGAUUUCGAACUAGAAAUCCCCACACUGAGUGAGGGUUAGGUUGACGAUGCUUAUUUAUGUUACACCACACUUCAAGCCAACGACAGGGAUUCAUAUAUGCAUGCAUGCGUGCAUAGUAUAUGCGCUCAAACUUAAUUAGGUAUGAAUCUCACCAUGACCUAUACUAUGAUAACAUGAACCAAAUGAGGAAUCCUCCAUGGUAACCUAUCUUGUUGUUGGUCAAGGUGAUCAUGGAUGUCCACGCGGGCCCACAAAUAUAUAGGCUUGUCCCCGAUAACCACGCGAGCGAGUGUAUCAUUCGAAGGCAACCACUACAUGCAUAUGUAUGGAGGUGAUGCGUGCAUGCAUGUUUGAAUACACAACAUUGAUCUGGCGCGUGUGUCAAAAAUCAUACACUAGCUCCCCACACAGAGCGAGAUCGGUUCAGGAUGGUGUCGUUAUACUAGCCACUUCAACUCGAUGGGAGGGAUUCAUGCGUACACAUGCAUGUGUGUGUGCUCAAAGUGUAUCAUGCAUGUCAUCCCAGAGCAAAAAUAAUAAUCCCCUCCUAAGUCAAAUUAACCUCUCUUGUUGUCAGGAAAAAAGAAGUGAUGGACCAAGCGGGCCCAUAGAUGGAAAGCAUCGAUAUCAUUGAUAACCACUUAAGUGGGUGCGAGAGGACAACCACCACCGCUUUGCAUGUGGGCCAAACAUAUAUAUGUUGAAUACCCAAAAUGCACAACUUCGAUGUGCCACAUGCCUCAAAACGGUAAACCAUGCACCCACACAGAGCGAGGUUCAUAUCAAGCGUACUACAUAUGAUGGUCCCCUUCCCCCCUCUUCACCGCAUACUAUAUGCUCCUGCCGUAAUAUAUGUACAACCCAAAAGAUCCUCAUCGAUGGUGAAAUUAAUUAACCUCUCCCGAUGUAGGUCAAAGUGAUGCAUGCAUGCAUGCAUGCAUCGAUGAUGGCCUCCUGGGCCCACAGAUGGAAGCGUCACACGUGAGUGUCCUAGCUAGGAUAUAUAUGCAUGUGGCCCAAAAAGGUGUUGUGUGAUAUUUGAAUAACCAAUUUCACAAUUUUGAUGUGGCACGUGCCUCGGUAACCAAAAAGUCCCGACACUGAGUGAGGUGUACUUGUUCACGGAUGCAUACAUAUAGUAUAUACGCUAGUCCCCUUCCACCUCUUCGACGCGUACUAUAUACCACCAUAACACAAACAAAAAAGAUUCUACCUUGCUAGUCAAAUUAACCUCACUACCGGUUGUUCAUCAAAGUGAUGGGCAACGACCUCGCGGGCCCACAAAAAGCAUCACACGCAAGUAUCAAGUGUCGUGUAGGACAACCAUCAACUAUAUGUGGCAAAACAUUUAUGUAUGAAUGGGUUGUGUAAUGUUUUAAAUAACGAUUUCACGACUUUGAUGUGGCACCAGCCUGCCUAACAAAACGGCCAACCCACACGGUGGCUGAUAACCGACAAGUAUAGGGGAUCGCAACAGUUUUUGAUAAGUAAGAGUGUCGAACCCAAUGAGGAGCUAAAGGCAAAACAAAUAUUCCCUCAAGUUCUAUCGACCACCGAUACAACUCUACACACGCUUGAUGCUCGCUUUACCUAGAACACGUAUGAAACUAGAAGUACUUUGUAGGUGUUGUUGGAUAGGUUUGCAAGAUAAUAAAGAGCAUGUAAAUAAAAAGUAGGGUCUGUUUAGAUAAAGACACAACUAACUUAGUUUUCAUAAAGAGCUUUUUGUUAUGAGAAAUUUAUUUUCCCUAGGCAAUCGAUAACUAGACUGGUAAUCAUUGUUGCAAUUUUAUUUGAGGUAGAGGCAUAAGCUAACAUACUUUCUCUACUUGGAUCAUAUGCACUUAUGAUUGGAACUCUAGCAAGCAUCCGCAACUACUAAAGAUCAUUAAGGUAAAACCCAACCAUAGCAUUAAAGUAUCAAGUCCUCUUUAUCCCAUACGCAACAAUCCCCUUACUCGGGUUUGUGUUUCAGUCACUCACGCAACCCACUAUAAGAAAAUCAUGAACGUAUUGCAACACCCUACAGCAGGGAUCCCUCACGCUUGCGCGACACGGAGAGCACCAUAGGACAGCACCAAUAAUAAAACAUGCAACUCGAACCAAUCAUGAUCAUCAAAUAACCCAUAGGACAAAACAGAUAUACUCAAACAUCAUUGGGAAAUAAUAUAUAGCAUUGAGCACCAUGUUUAAGUAGAGAUUACAGCAGGUAAAAGAGGGGUUACACCGUUGCAUAGAGGGGGGAAGAGUUGGUGAUGAUGGCGGUGAAGUUGUUGGUGAAGAUUGCGGUGAUGAUGAUGGCCCCCAGUGGCACUCCGGUGCCACCGGAAGCGAGGGGGAGAGGGCCCCCCUCCUUCUUCUUCCUUGACCUCCUACCUAGAUGGGAGAAGGGUUUCCCCUCUGGUCCUUGGUCUCCAUGGUGUGGGAGGGGCGAGAGCACCUCCGAGAUUGGAUCUGUCUCUCUGUCUCUCUCUGUUUCUACGUUCUCAGAUUCUACCCUUUCACUGUUUCUUAUAUUCCCGGAGAUCUAUAACUCCGACUGGGCUGAAAUUUUAACACGAUCUCUAUCCGGAUAUUAGCUUUAUUGCGGAGAAAGAAGGUCAUCAACCGCCUUACAGGGUGGCCACGAGGGUCAGGGGCGCGCCCCCCUGCCUCGUGCCUCCCUCGGGCACCGUCUCGCGUGGAUUUUUCUUCCCAAAAAUCAUAUAUAUUCCAAAAAAAUCUCAGUCGGUUUUUAUCCCGUUUGGACUCCGUUUGAUAUGGAUAUUCUGCGAAACAAAAACAUGCAACAAACAAGAACUAGCACUGGGCAUGGAUCAAUAUGUUAGUCCCAAAAAUAGUAAAAAAGUUGCCAAAAGUAUAUGAAAGUUGUAGAAUAUUGGCAUGGAACAAUCAAAAAUUAUAGAUAUGACGGAGACGUAUCAGCAUCCCCAAGCUUAAUUCCUGCUCGUCCUCGAGUAGGUAAAUGAUAAAAAAGAUAAUUUUUGAUGUGGAAUGCUACCUAGCAUAAUCUUGAUCACAUAUCUAAUCAUGGCAUGAAUAUUAAGACACGAGUGAUUCAAGGCAAUAGUCUAUCAUUUGACAUUAAGACAAUAAUACUUCAAGCAUACUAAUAAAGCAAUCAUGUCUUUUCAAAAUAAUAUGGCCAAAGAAAGUUAUCCCUACAAAAUCAUAUGGUCUGGCUAUGCUCCAUCUUCACCACACAAAAUAUUCAAAUCAUGCACAACCCCGAUGACAAGCCAAGCAAUUGUUUCAUACUUUUGAUGUUCUCAAACCUUUUCAACUUUCACUCAAUACAUGAGCGUGAGCCAUGGACAUAGCACUAUAGGUGGAAUAGAAUGGUGGUUGUGGAGAAGACAAAAAGGAGAAGAUAGUCUCACAUCAACUACGUGUAUCAACGGGCUAUGGAGAUGCCCAUCAAUAGAUAUCAAUGUGAGUGAGUAGGGAUUGCCAUGCAACAGAUGCACUAGAGCUAUAAGUGUAUGAAAGCUCAAACUGAAACUAAGUGGGUGUGCAUCCAACUUGCUUGCUCAUGAAGACCUCGGGCAUUUGAGGAAGCCCAUCAUCGGAAUAUACAAGCCAAGUUCUAUAAUGAAAAUUCCCACUAGUAUAUGAAAGUGAUAACUCAAGAGACUCUCUAUAUGAAGAACAUGGUGCUACUUUGAAGCACAAGUGUGCUAAAAGGAUAGUAACAUUGCCCCUUCUCUCUUUUUCUCUCAUUUUUUAUUUUUUUAUUUUUUUGGUGGGCUUCUGAUAGAGGCAAAGGUGUCCCGAUGUUUCGAUGAGAUGGUGGUUAUCGUUUUUGGGGGAGUCGACCUUGACGAUCCGACUACAAACGUGCGAGACGUUGCGCCUUAGCAAUCGCUAAACCAACUUUCGAGGGGUUAUUGACCACGCCGGAGCAUGAUCAACCUGACCACGAGGGUCUGUUUCCUGCAAGCAAACGAAGAACAAGCAAGAAACUGAGAUUGCAAUUUGGAUAUUGCGAAUAUAAGAUGAAAGCUUUAUUGAUCAAGGUGGGGUUCUGUGAUGUCUUGGUCUGGUCGUUGGACACAAACAAAGUACGAGAAGUUGCAGCUAUGGCGAACUUUUAAUCUAAACAAAACCCAAAGCCUAAACGAUGCCCUAAGGGCUGUAUAUAUGGAGGAGAGAGGGGGAAUUUCGUGGCCCUUGGUGGAGGGGUCCGAAACCAACCCUAACUCUUGUUUCCCCACACAUACGGACUCUAAAAACAGCAUAUACUUAAGUACUUCGAAAAUACAUGGGCCUGGCCCAAUAAUAAGGUGACGCGGCACCUAGAAUAGCCUAUGGACGAAUAUUAUGAAGUGGCAUCUUGUAUAUUUCAUCCAAGGCUUCAUGCACUCCUUAUGGCGGCUUCAAAGUCCUGAAAUCAUCACUUGUAACUCCGUUCUUGAUCCCCUUGCGCAUGCCAUCAACUCCAUGCGUGUUCUUGCUCCAAUGUUCAUCCCUCUCCAAGCUAGGCCCUUCAUUUGUAAGCAAAACAAAUGUAUCCAAUUUAGGCAGCAUCAUAAUCUCAUGAACAUUAGAAUCAUUACCAAGAAACGAAAGUACCUGGUAAUUUAAUUGGCGUGCGCGAGCUCUAGUAAUUGGUCCAGUAUAUGUAACAAUAGGGGCUGUGGGUGUAACAAUGGUAUUGAUGUCCUCAUCAUCCUCCCCUUCUUGGAAUGAAGUCGUCCUCGACGGAAGCUCAUUCCUCACCCAAAUAAGGCUUCAAAUCUGCAAUGUUAAAAGUGGGACUAACCCCAAAAUCUGCAGGUAGCUCAAGUUUAUAUGCAUUAUCAUUUAUUUUCUCUAACACCUUAAAAGGACCAUCGGCAUGUGGCAUUAGCUUUGAUUUGCGCAAAUUAGGAAAUCUAUCUUUACGCAAAUGUAACCAAACAAGAUCUCCAGGUGCAAACACAACAUGUUUUCUACCCUUAUCUCCAGCAAGUUUAUAUUUAGCAUUCAUACGCUCAAUGUUUUCCUUAGUUAACUCAUCCAUUUUUAAAAUCAAUUCAGAACGUUCUUUAGCAUCAAAAUUAAUCUUCUCCGAAGAUGGAAGAGGCAACAAAUCAAUAGGUGCAUGAGGUAGGAAACCAUACACAAUUUCAAAAGGGCACAUCUUAGUAGUAGAACGCAAUGAACGAUUAUAAGCAAAUUCAAUAUGAGGCAAGCAUUCUUCCCACAUUUUCUUAUUAUUCUUCAAAACAGCCCUAAGCAGAGUAGACAAUGUUCUAUUGACUACUUCAGUUUAUCCAUCAGUUUGGGGGUGACAAGUAGUACUAAAAAGCAGUUUAGUCCCCAACUUAGCCCAUAAACAUCUCCAAAAGUGGCUAAGAAAUUUAGUAUCACGAUCUGAAACAAUAGUAUUAGGCACACCAUGCAAGCGAAUAAUUUCACGAAAGAACAAAUCAGCAACAUUAACAGCAUCAUCGCUUUUAUGACAUGGUAUAAAGUGUGCCAUUUUCGAGAAUCUAUCCACGACAACAAAUAUGCUAUCCCUCCCCUUCUUUGUUCGAGGUAAACCUAAAACAAAGUCCAUAGAUAUAUCCUCCCAAGGAACACUAGGUACAGGCAAAGGCAUAUAUAAACCAUGAGGAUUGAGUCAUGACUUAGCUUUUUGACAUGUAGUGCAGCGAGCAACAAAACGCUCAACAUCCCGUCUCAUCUUUGGCCAAAAGAAAUGUGUAGCAAGUACGUCCUCCGUAUUCUUCACGCCAAAGUGUCCCAUUAGUCCUCCUCCAUGCGCCUCCUGCAACAACAAAAGACGAACAGAGCUAGCUGGAAUGCAUAGCUUGUUAGCACGAAACACAAAUCCAUCAUUAAGAACGAACUUGUUCCAAGUUCUCCCUUCCUUACAAUUCUGCAAUACAUCUUUAAAUUCAGCAUCAUGAACAUAUUGAUCUUUGAUGGUCUCCAAACCAAAUAUUUUAAAGUCAAGUUGUGAAAGCAUAGUAUAACAACGAGACAAGGCAUCAGCAAUAACAUUUUCUUUACCCUUCUUGUGUUUAAUGACAUAAGGGAAAGUCUCAAUGAAUUCAACCCAUUUAGCAUGUCUACGGUUCAGUUUUGCUUGACUUUUAAUGUGUUUCAAAGAUUCAUGAUCAGAAUGUAUAACAAAUUCCUUAGGCCAUAAAUAAUGUUGCCAUGUUUCUAAGGUCCGAACAAGAGCAUAUAAUUCUUUAUCAUAAGUAGAAUAGUUCAGACUAGGCCCACUCAAUUUUUCAGAAAAGUAUGCAACAGGUUUUCCAUCUUGUAAUAACACACCUCCUAAUCCAAUUCCACUAGCAUCACAUUCAAGCUCAAAAGUCUUAUUGAAAUUAGGAAGUUGGAGUAAAGGAGCAUGUGUCAACUUAUCUUUCAAUACCGUGAAGGCUUCUUCCUGUGCGGUACCCCAAACAAAAGGCACAUCCUUCUUUGUAAGCUCGUUGAGAGGUGCAGCAAUGGUGCUGAAAUCUCUCACAAAACGCCUAUAGAAACCAGCGAGGCCAAGGAAACUCCUCACUUGUGUGACCGUUUUGGGCUGCGGCCAACUCUCAAUAGCUUCAAUCUUGGCUUUAUCAACUUCAAUUCCCUGUGGAGUAACAACAUAGCCAAGAAAAGAUACUCGGUUGGUGCAAAAGGUGCACUUUCCAAGGUUACCAAACAAACGUGCAUCACGUAGAGCAAUAAAAACAGCACGUAAAUGUUCCAAAUGUUCCUCCAAAGAUUUGCUAUAAAUCAAUAUGUCAUCAAAGUAAACUACCACAAAUCGUCCAAUGAAAGCACGUAAAACUUCGUUCAUUAACCUCAUGAAAGUACUAGGUGCAUUAGUUAACCCAAAAGGCAUGACUAACCACUCAUAUAAUCCAAACUUAGUUCUAAAUGCUGUUUUCCAUUCAUCUCCCAAUUUCAUACGAAUUUGAUGGUAUCCACUACGCAAAUCAACUUUGGAGAAUAUUGUAGAGCCACUCAAUUCAUCAAGCAUAUCAUCUAGCCUAGGAAUAGGAUGACGAUAACGAAUAGUAAUAUUAUUAAUGCCUCUACAAUCAACGCGCAUACGCGACGUACCAUCCUUUUUCGGCACUAAAAUGAUUGGAACGGCACAAGGACUAAGGGAUUCGCGUAUAUAACCUUUGUCGAGCAGUUCUUGUACUUGACGCAUAAUCUCCUUCGUCUCCUCUGGAUUGGUACGGUAUGGUGCACGGUUGGGUAAUGAUGCAUCGGGAAUUAAGUCAAUUUGAUGCUCAAUCCCUCAAAUAGGUGGUAAUCCCGGUGGCACAUCUUGUGGAAAGACGUCAGCGAACUCCUGCAAAAUGUUAGUGACAGCAGGAGGCAAAGAGGAAGGCAUGUCCUCGAAUGAAAAUAAUGCCUCUUUGCACACAAAAGCAUAGCAAACAGAUUUGCAAAAAUCUAGAUCAUCAAUAUCAGAUUUGGUGGCAAGUAAACAUGCACUUUUCAAUUUAAUUUCAGAAGCAACACUAGAUUGUUUAUUAUUAUUAGGCUGCAUUUGUUGCUCAAAUUCUUUUGCCACAAUCUGAUUUUCACUCUUAUUUUUCUCCUGUUUUGCUUUAUUAGCUCUAUUAAUAUCAUCUUUCAAAAUAGAAUCAGGAGUCAUAGGAAGCAAAGUAAUAUUUUUAUCCUUAUGAACAAGAGUACACUGAUUGUUUCUACCAUGGUGAACAGAAUUUUUAUCAAAUUGCCAUGGUCUACCAAGUAAUAAGGAACAUGCUUGCAUAGGUACCACAUCACAAUCAACAUAAUCAGCAUAUGUAGAGAUACUAAAAUGCACACGAACAGUACGUGUUACCUUAACCUUGCCGCUGUUGUUGAACCAUUGGAUGUAGUAAGGAUGUGGAUGUGGUCUUGUGGUGAGAGAUAGCUUCUCCACCAUCUCCAUGCUAGCCAAGUUAUUUCAGCUCCCUCCAUCUAUGAUGACGCAAAUAGAACGUUCCUUCACAACUCCCUUUGUAUGGAACAAAUUAUGCCUCUGAUUUUUCUCAGCUUGUGUAACCUGCACACUCAAAACACGUUGAGCAACUAAACAUUCAUACCUAUCAGCAUCUUCAGCAGCCAUGUAUUGCGUCUCAUGAUCAGAAUCAUCUCCACCGUGUUCUUCACGUGUAAUAAGAGCCAAAGUCUCCUCAUCAUAGUCACUAGCGGACUCAUACCCACCAUCCUCAGUAGCAAUCAUCACACGCUGAGAUUGGCAUUCUCUCGCAAAAUGUCCUCUUCCCUUACAACGACGACAAAUAAUGUCACUUGUGUGCCCUGUUGAUGCCAUGGAAGAAGAAGAGCUCUGCGCAGGUCCAGCAGGUGUGCUCUUGGCAGAUAGUGGUGGUUGUGCCUGCUUUCUUGUAUCACGGCUGGAGGUGGCAGCCGACAGAGGCGCCGGUGUAGCAGAACGUGUGGAAGUAGAUGAUGCACGUGGUGUCCAUGAUGAAGGUCGACCUGCAGAAAAGUUAGUCCGCGCCAAUGCUUGUCGAUCCUGCACUUCACGUUCAUCUUUACAAGCAAGAUGGAAUAAAUGAGUGAUAUUAGUAUACUCCUUAUACUCUAGAAUCGUCUGAAUCUCUCUAUUUAAUCCACCCAUAAAACGUGCAAGCAUAGCUUCAUUCUCCUCAACAAUACCACAUCUAAUCAUGUCAGUUUGUAAUUCCUAAUAAUAUUCUUCUACAGAAUUUCUUCCCUGUCUUAAGCGCUGCAAUUUUUGAAGUAAUUCACGUUGAUAAUAUGGUGGAACCCAACGAGUACGCAUAGCAGUUUUCAAAGCAGCCCAAGUAGCAGGAAUAGGAUAUAAUCUACAAUGCUCAGACCACCAAACACAUGCAAAACUAGUGAAUGCACAAACAGCAGCAGGAACACGUCUCUCCUCGGGAUAUUGUAAACAUGUAAAUCGUUGUUCAGUUUCUAACUCCCAAAUAAGAUAUAUAUCAGGAACAUAUCUACCCUCAAAUGGUGGAAUAUUCAAUUUUAGUUUAGGGAGAUGGUCAUGAUCUCGUACCUAAGGGUGAGCCCUACCAUUGCCAUUAUUUGCAUGUGGACGACCUGGUGGUUGUUGUGCUGGUGGUGGCACGUAGUUCUGAUUUUGAUCAACCUCAUCCUCGUAAUCGCCGGCAAAAUCAUCCUCCUCCGCAUCAGCAGCAGGAGCCACAGAAGUAUCAACAGCAGCACCAACAGUUUGGCCAGGUGCAAGAGGGAGACGGCUCGCUCGGCGGAGGGUUGUUUCACGAUGUGUAGGUAGUCGUUGUUGUUGUUGUUGUAGAGGUGCGUUAGGUGCAGCCGGUGGUGGUGGUGGAAGAUGCACGAGCAAUUCAUUAAACCUGUUAUCGAGCUUUGUUUCAAACGUCUUCUCCAUGUCAUCUAUCUUCUCCAUGGCCUCUUCAAAUCUGUUUAGCACAUCUUGCACCUGUCCACUCAUCAUUUGCUGAAACUUAUCAUGAAGCUCCUUGUUCGUCAAGUUCUCCCAGUCAGUCUCGUCGGCUUGUGAUCCUGGCAUGGUUUGCAGCAAUAGAAACACACAAGAAUAUGAUCCUACAGACUACUAACAAGUGGUGGUGGUGGCGGGUGUCACAAAUCCGUAAAGCAAAUCUCAAAUUCUUACCAGUUCUUACCCAGCAGUAGGCGGUGAUCGGCAACCGUUGUAGUCAAAACUCUCAAAAGCUUGGAUAGAGCGAUUGCCAGGGAGAGUCAAACGCACGACGUAGAUGUAUAUGGAGCUGGGAAGGCUUAUAGUAUGGUAGCAAAAAGGGUCAACAAUAAUCAAUUCAGAGAUGCAAACUUGAAUAAACGCUCAACGACAGUACUGUGCUGGUCCUAGGCUAGACCGUGCUAGAGACGCGAGCCUAGAACACUAACAAAAUCACGGCGCUGCACGUAAAUAAGGGAAAAGCACACUCCGGAACUCUUUUUUUUGCUCUUCUUUUUUGCGCUCCUUUUUUUUGCGCUCCUUUUUUUGCGAAAAAUCACUAUAAUGGCGAGUGUCUCAAAACUCUUCCCUCGUCAAACUGAUAGGAUGGGCACGAAAUAUUUUUUUCACUUUUUUCGGAAAUCAGGGCAGCGACGACGAAAAAGUGCGACAAAAAAUCACUAUGAUGGCACUUUUGCUCAAAAGACUCAGAAAAGCCUAGAAAUAGGAUAGGGAAAAAAUAUUUUUGCCCGUGAAAAUUUUGGCCUAAAAACUGCCCGGGGGUCUCCAGACUCUCUUUUUUUUCCGAGACCUACGCUGGCAAGGAAACACGAAUCGGAAUUUAGAUUGAUCUCAAGAACAAACCUAAUAUGAGAAGAACUCGGAUUGGUGGUGGAUAUAUGGUUGUGGUAUAUGGCAGCGGUGGUGGUAUAUGGUAGCGGUGGUGGUAUAUGGAUAAGGAUUGGUGGUGGUAUAUGGAUACAGAUUCAGAGCGGUGGCGGAUAAGCAAUGGUGGUAGAUGGCAAGGCGAUGAUGAUGGUGCGGCGGCGGCAUGACAACUUAUGACCAGAACUCGAAACUCUAAAAGACUAGACUCUAAGACCAACAACUUGACACGACGAUGCAACCGCAAAUUCAACAAAGCAAAAACCCUAAAAAGAUUAUGCAAAGGCUCAGAUUGGUUCGGAUAUGAUGAACUAACCCUAAUUUUUUUUGUGGCUUUUUCGUGGACUGUAGGUAUGAAGAACAGACUCGGUCUAAUCUACGAAAAACUGUAAAAUCUCACUGAGCAACCUGGAAAUCUGAUACCACUUGAUAGAGGCAAAGGUGUCCCGAUGUUUCGAUGAGAUGGUGGCUAUCGUUUCUGGGGGAGUCAACCUUGACGAUCCGACUACGAACGUGCGAGAUGUCGCGCCUUAGCAAUCGCUAAACCAACUUCCGAGGGGUUAUUAACCACGCUGGAGCACGAUCAACCUGACCACGAGGGUCUGUUUCCUGCAAGCAAACGAAGAACAAGCAAGAAACUGAGAUUGCAAUCUGGAUAUUGCGAAUAUAAGAUGAAAGCUUUAUUGAUCAAGAUGGGGUUCUGUUCCGUCUUGGUCUGGUCGUUGGACACAAACGAAGUACGAGAAGUUGCAGCUAUGGCGAACUUUUAAUCUAAACAAAACCCAAAGCCUAAACGAUGCCCUAAGGGCUGUAUAUAUGGAGGAGAGAGGGGGAAUUUCGUGGCCCUUGGUGGAGGGGUCCGAAACCAACCCUAACUCUUGUUUCCCCACACAUACGGACUCUAAAAACAGCCUAUACUUAAGUACUUAGAAAAUACAUGGGCCUGGCCCAAUAAUAAGGUGACGCAGGACCUAGAAUAGCCUAUGGACGAAUAUUAUGAAGUGGCAUCUUGUAUAUUUCAUCCAAGGCUUCAUGCACUCCUUAUGGCGGCUUGAAAGUCCUGAAAUCAUCACUUGUAACUCCGUUCUUGAUCCCCUUGCGCAUGCCAUCAACUCCAUGCGUGUUCUUGCUCCAAUGUUCAUCCCUCUCCAAGCUAGGCCCUUCAUUUGUAAGCAAGACAAAUGUAUCCAAUUUAGGCAGCAUCAUAAUCUCAUGAACAUUAGAAUCAUUACCAAGAAACGAAAGUACCUGGUAAUUUAAUUGGCGUGCGCGAGCUCUAGUAAUUGGUCCAGUAUAUGUAACAAUAGGGGCUGUGGGUGUAACAACGGUAUUGAUGUCCUCAUCAGCUUCUUUGGCCUUUUUGUAUUUGGGAUUCUUUGGCCUCUUUUAUUUAUUUUUAAAGUCCGAGUCUCAUCCCGACUUGUGGGGGAAUCAUAGUCUCCAUCAUCCUUUCCUCAUUGGGGAAAUGCUCUAAUAAUGAUGAUCAUCACACUUUUAUUUACUUACAACUCAAUAUUACAACUCGAUAUCUAGAACAAAGAUAUGACUCUAUAUGAAUGCCUCCGGCGGUGUAUCGGGAUGUGCAAUGAUCUAGCAUAGGAAUGACAUAAAAAAUGGACAAGCCAUGAAAACAUCAUGCUAGCUAUCUUACGAUCAUGCAAAGCAAUAUGACAAUAAAUGCUCAAGUCAUGUAUAUGAUGAUGAUGAUGGAAGUUGCAUGGCAAUAUAUCUCGGAAUGGCUAUGGAAAUGCCAUGAUAGGUAGGUAUGGUGGCUGUUUUGAGGAAGGUAUAUGGUGGGUUUAUGGUACCGGCGAAAGUUGCGCGAUACUAGAGAGGCUAGCAAUGGUGGAAGGGUGAGAGUGCGUAUAAUCCAUGGACUCAACAUUAGUCAUAAAGAACUCACAUACUUAUUGCAAAAGUAUAUUAGCUAUCAAAACAAAGUACUACACGCAUGCUCCUAGGGGGAUAGAUUAGUAGGAAAAGACCAUCGCUCGUCCCCGACCUCCACUCAUAAGGAAGACAAUCAAUAAAUAAAUCAUGCUCCGACUUCAUCACAUAACGGUUCACCAUACGUGCAUGCUACGGGAAUCACAAACCUCAACACAAGUAUUUCUACUAAUCCACAACUACCCACUAGCAUGACUCUAAUAUCACUAUCUUUAUAUUGCAAAACUAUUGCAAGGAAUCAAACAUAUCAUAUUCAGCGAUCUACAAGUUUUAUGUAGGAUUUUAUGACUAACCAUGUGAAUGACCAGUUCCUGUCAACCCUCUAAAUAGAUAUAAGUGAAGAAAGAGAGUUUAAUUCUUUCUACAAAAUAUAUGCCCAUGCUCUAACAAAUAUAAGUGAAGCAAAAGAGCAUUCUACAAAUGGCGGUUUUCUAUGUAAAGAGAAACAGGCAAUCCAAACUUCAAAUGAUAUAAAUGAAGCACAUGAAGCAUUCUACAAGGCCAUACUCAAAAGAUAUAAGUGAAGUGCGUAGAGCAUUCUAUAAAUCAACCAAGGACUAUAUCAUAACAUCAUGGUGCAUAAAAUAAAAAUUAAAACUAAAUGCAAAAGACGCUCCAAGACUGCACAUAUCACAUGAAUGAAACGAAUCUGAAAACAUACCGAUACUUGUUGAAGCAAGAGGGGAUGCCUUCCGGGGCAUCCCCAAGCUUAGACGCUUGAGUAUCCUUGAAUAUUUACUUGGGGUGCCUCGGGCAUCCCCAAGCUUGAGAUCUUGCCUCUCUUCCUUCUUCUCACAUCGAGACCUUCUCGAUCAUCGAACACUUCAUCCACACAAAACUUCAACAGAAAACUUGGUAAGAUCCGUUAGUAUAAUAAAGCAAAUAACUACUAUAAGUACUGUUGCAAACCAAUUCAUUUUUUUUGAAUUAUAGCUACUGUAGAAUAACUUUUCCAUGGCUUAAUCCACUGAUUUAAAUCGAUAGUUUCAUCAAAACAAGCAAACUAUGCAUCAAAAACAGAAUCUGUCUAAAACAGAACAGUCUGUAAUAAUAUGAACAUUCACCAUACUUAUGAUACUUGGAAAAUUCUACAACAAUUAGUAAAAAUAAACAAUUUGUAGAGAAAGACAGUGCAAAAAGAAUCAGAACCAUUUGACAUUCCAGUAAAAAAUGUAAAAUCGCGCACUACAACCAAAGUUUCUGUCCUGCACCGCACAAACCAACAAGUAUUGUAAACAUCCUAAAGGCAAACCUUGGCACACUAUUUUUAUAAUACAAUGGAAUUGUAAAAGGGGAUAAUUAUUUUUAUUGAAAAGUUUCUGUAAUCAAGAUUCACAAAGUUUCCGUGAGCAUGAACAAAGUUCAAGGCUAGCUCCCACUUCAACAAUGCUUGUCUCUCUCACUUUCACUUUCCUUUUGGAAAAAGUUUUGGGUUCCCCUAUUUAUUUUUGUUGUUUUUAAACUAUAUAAAAGCACUCAACAGAAAUAAAUGAAUCUCUAAAACUUCCGGGUUGUCUCCCUGGCAGCGCUUUCUUUAAAGCCAUUAACCUAGGCAUAUAGUGCUCAAGUAGUGAAUCCACCCGGAUCCCAAGGUAUAUCAAAGCCAAUUUUAAUUAACGAUGAUUUGUAAUUUAGUAGUGAGCACAAAGUAACAUAUAUCAUGUAAUGACGAAGUCUAACUCUCUUCCUAUGCAUCGGCAUGUCAUAAAAGAACAAUUCAUGCACACAUAGUAAAGGCCAAUGCAUAGUAUAAACAGUUUCUUGCAAUUUUAUCAUAUUGGAAACAUAGAGAGGUGGAGAUAUAGUCCCUCUCUCAUAAUAAUUGCAAGUAGGAGCAGCAAGCACAUGCAUAUUAUAUCCAUCAAAAUCAUCGUGUGUAGUAGUAAAAGGCAACCCAUCAAUAUAAUCCUUAAUACGCGCAAACUUCUCCGAUAUAGUGUAGUUUGGAGAAUUCGAAAAGAUAAUAGGACUAUCAUGUGUGGGUGCGAUAGCAACAAUUUCAUGUUUAACAUAAGGAACUAUAGCAAGUUCAUCUCCAUAAGAAUAAUUCAUAUUGGAAUUUUGGCCACAAGCAUAGCAAGCAUCAUCAAAAAGGUAUAUUUCAAAAGAAUCAACGGGAUCAUAGCAAUUAUCAUAGCAUUCAUCCUUCAGUAAGCACGAAGGGAAAUUAAACAAUGUAUGAGUUGAAGAGUUACUCUCAUUAAAAGGUGGGCACGGGUGAUCAAUCCGCUCUUCCUCCUUUUGUUCUUCGCUCUCCUCCUCAUCUUUUUCAUCCAAUGAGCUCACAGUUUCAUCAAUUUCUUCUUCCAUAGAUUCCUGCAAAAUAUUAGUCUCUUCUGGGACAGUGGAGACUUUCUCAAUAAACGCAUCAAUAUCGGAAUUGUAUUCAUAAUUAUCAUAACAAUAUUUAAGGAUAGCUAAAUUUUCAGUUCGGUAGAUAGCAUCAUAAAGACUUUCAUAUUCUUUGAACAUAUAUUCAAUUUCAUAAGCACCCAUAAAAGCAACAAAUUCUUCUAUUUGUUCCACAUCAUAGUAGUCAUAUAUACCUCUAGCAUAAGAAGCCAAAGUUUCAUUAUCAUUAAAUUCACAUGAAAAGGGAAGGUGUGGAGCCUUCAUCCUAGAGCAACAAGUAUAAUCAUAUCUCAAGCAUAGUUGCCUAGCAUACCAAUACAACAUAUAUAUUUGAUCACAUAAUAGUUUCCCUUUUUGAGUCAAGCGAUAAUCCCUAAAGUAUUCACGUUGAUCCAACGUGUCUCCCAGUACCAAAUUGAAUGGGGUUUUAUCUGCAUUAUCAAAGUAGUACAUAAUAUCUGUCACAUAAAGAGCAUCGAGGGUUUUAGGAGGUUCCUCAUCUCCAUGAGCAGCAAGUACACCUAAUUUUUUUGGUAUUUCGUGUAACAUAUCCAUAACUAAAGAUAAAGAACAACUAAGAACAGCAAAUAAAAAUUACUUAGUGAUAAAAGCAAACAAGCACACACGAGAAUAUUCACCCCACGCUAUGGCUCCCCGGCAACGGCGCCAUAAAAAGGUCUUGAUAACCCACAAGUAUAGGGGAUCGCAACAGUUUUUGAUAAGUAAGAGUGUAGAACCCAACGAGGAGCUAAAGGCAGAACAAAUAUUCCCUCAAGUUCUAUCGACCACCGAUACAACUCUACGCACGCUUGAUGUUCACUUUACCUAGAACAAGUAUGAAACUAGAAGUACUUUGUAGGUGUUGUUGGAUAGGUUUGCAAGAUAAUAAAAAGCAUGUAAAUAAAAAGUAGGGUUUGUUUAGAUAAAUACACAACUAACUUAGUUUUAGUAAAGAGCUUUUUGUUACGAGAAAGUUAUUUGUCCCUAGGCAAUCGAUGACUAGACCGGUAAUCAUUGUUGCAAUUUUAUUUGAGGGAGAGGCAUAAGUUAACAUACUUUCUCUCCUUGGAUCAUAUGCACUUAUGAUUGGAACUCUAGCAAGCAUCCGCAACUACUAAAGAUCAUUGAGGUAAAACCCAACCAUAGCAUCAAAGUAUCAAGUCCUCUUUAUCCCAUACGCAACAACCCCCUUACUCGAGUUUGUGUUUCAGUCACUCACGCAACCCACUAUAAGCGAAUCAUGAACUAUUACAACACCCUACAGCGGGGAUCCCUCACGCUUGCGCGACACGAAGAGCACCAUAGGACAGCACCAGUAAUAAAACAUGCAACUCAAACCAAUCACGAUCAUCAAAUAACCCAUAGGACAAAACAGAUCUACUCAAACAUCAUAGGAUAGCCAUACAUCAUUGGGAAAUAAUAUAUAGCGUUGAGCACCAUGUUUAAGUAGAGAUUACGGCGGGCAAAAGUGGGGUUACACCGCUACAUAGAGGGGGGAAGAGUUGGUGAUGAUGGCGGUGAUGUUGUUGGUGAAGAUUGCGGUGAUGAUGAUGGCCCCCGGUGGCACUCCAGUGCCACCGGAAGCGAGGGGGAGAGAGCCCCCCUCCUUCUUCUUCUUCCUUGACCUCCUCCCUAGAUGGGAGAAGGGUUUCCCCUUUUGUCCUUGGUCUCCAUGGCGUGGGAGGGGCGAGAGCCCCUCCGAGAUUGGAUCUGUCUCUCUGUCUCUCUUUGUUUCUACGUUCUCAGAUUCUACCCUUUCACCGUUUUUUAUAUUCCCGGAGAUCCAUAACUCCGAUGGGUCUGAAAUUUUAACACAAUCUCUAUCCGGAUAUUAGCUUUCUUGCAGCGAAAGAAGGGCAUCAACCGCCUUACGGGGUGGCCACGAGGGUCAGGGGCGCGCCCCCUGCCUCGUGCCUCCCUCGGGCACCGUCUCGCAUGGAUUUUUCUUCCCAAAAAUCACAUAUAUUCCAAAAAGAAUCUCUGUCAGUUUUUAUCCCGUUUGGACUCCGUUUGAUAUGGAUAUUCUGCAAAACAAAAAACAUGCAACAAACAGGAACUGGCACUGGGCAGUGGAUCAAUAUGUUAGUCCCAAAAAUAGUAUAAAAAGUUGCCAAAAGUAUAUGAAAGUUGUAGAAUAUUGGCAUGGAAUAAUAAAAAAUUAUAGAUACGACGGAGACAUAUCAGUGGCUCACAACUCGUAGUGUACUGCGAGCCACCCGCCACCCCCAGACGCACGCACCCACACACACACACCGCGAAUCCACCGCAACUACGAUGCAUGUUAAAUUAAUUAUCCCGCGGUGAACAUACAUGUUACCAAAGGAGGGACGUUUUAAUUUCAAAAAAAUCACAGAGAUCAUUAAGACAUUUUAGUACAUUGAUUGAUUUAUUUUCUAUGGGUAUAAUGUGCAAAAAUCAAAUUUGAGCUACAAGCACACGUGACAGUGCACCUAAAUGGAUUGCAAAAACACGUGUCUCACUUGGUGUAUGUUUACUCCCCGUGCAACAAAUUUCAAACAUUGAGAAUCUUGAUUUUUAAAUUCUAGUACAUCCAAAACUUAUUUGAAGUUCAUGAAACUUAUCGUGUUGUCAUAUGGACACCAAUACAAAGUGGCAUUCUACUUUUUUUGUCAAGUUUCAGACCAGUUUUGAUGUAAUCUUUAUCAAAUUACAGACGGGAGAUUAUUAAUAAUUGGGAACCAAUAUCCCAAACGGAUUAUUUAUUUGAACCGUGAGCGUUAGACAAACAAUGGAUAUGUGCCAUGCUUCGGUUAAGCAAUAAAGCGGCAGCAUUAAUCAUCCAAAUAGAAAAACAAUAUACUUGUCGCCGCGGGACCCGUGUGGCGUGCGACCAGGCGUGAGUUGACAGGACGCAUGCGAGAAGUUCGCCGCGCACGCAGACGGGGAGGCGUGCGUGCACGUGUGUGAAUUGAUGGAAACGUGCUCGCUGCGCAGUGUCAUCGGGAGGUGUGCGAGUAGCUGUGUGAAACUUUGGUAGGCAUGCCAGCAGUCCGGUGCGCAGGCUCACCGGGAGGCGAGCCAUCGGUUUGACCACAGUCCGCCUCUCUCCCACAACUCCAAUUACUCCAUAUUAAUGGUGCGCCCAAGUGUCCGCACCCCCCAUCCUCGCUACGCACACACAAUCCUCUCUCUCCGCUUGCAUCCUCGACGCCGCUCUCAGUCCUCAAAGCCAUCAGUGUAUGAGGAUGCCGCCGAAGUGCCCCAUCGGAGGGAGUGGCGACGCCGGGGCUGCUAAAGCACCAGAGCACGGCGUGGAGAUGGAGACAGAGGUUGCCGUCACCGCCGGCGAGUCAUCGCUGCGCCCUAAUGUCGUCGAUGGCGUCGAGCUUUCAUAGCCGGAGGCGGAGUUCCACAUUGACUCGGAGGACCACUCUGGCGACGACUCCGACGACCACUCCGGUGACGACUCUGACGACCACUCCGGCGACGACUCCGACAACGACGGACAGCCGGUUAGUCAUCUAUACCCAUUUAUAUGUCAAAUAGAUCAUAGGGUUUCUCUGGUUACUCCUGCCUCCCCAUUUUUGGAAUAGAAAUCAUGUGGUUAUAUUCUCCCAAUCCAUGAAAUCUGAGUAAGUUUCUUUAGAUCCGUGUAGUGUAUUGAUUGUUUGAAUCGUACACAUAAUAAGUGAUUAGUUGUUUCAUCUGUGCAAAUGAUUUCUGCUAGUAAUCCGAAUAGGGUUAGUGUUCAUGCUAAUAAUUCCUAGCCAGGAAUUGACAAUUGAUUUUGAAUGACCUACCUAUGUUUGUGCCAUUAUUUUCUUCAAGAUUGGUUUGUACAUAGACGAAUGUGCUUAAAAAUAAAACCAUAAUCUCUGGAUAUGUAUUAACAAAUAGCCCUAAAUUCCUAAUCCUACUUCACGGCAUGUAAUCAGUGAUUUGAUGCCAAAUUUGUUUUACUAUUUGUAUAGGUGUUGUCUAACGAUGUGGACAGCGAGGAUGAAGAUGCCCAGAGGAGGUACAAGAGGCGAAUCCUGAGGGAGCUUUAUGCGGGAAUGCAUAACAGGCGUAUUAGGACCUGGAACGAUGGCUAUGGAUGCCCAUUUUGCCACCACAAGAUUCAUGACGCGUAUCUAAGUGUUCUGGCGCAUGCAAGAGGACGGGUCGUUGACUCCUUCAAGCAGAAGUAUUCUCGCAGGGUGGCGCACAGCGCGUACGCCGAGUACCUGGAGAAACUUCAGGAUCAUGUCGGCCUCAUGUGAGAUGAGAUGUGGGAUGGAUCGAACUAUGUACGCUUGAGUAUGCUUAAUGACGGUUGAACUAUGUACUUAUGGUUGAACUAUGCUUAUGUACGUGUACGCUUAUUAUCUAUGUCUGAGUAUGUUAAAUAUUUUGCCAAAUUUUGGUAAAAAUUACAACGGGGGACCAAUAAACCAAGACGGAGGUAGUACGUCAAUCACAUACGGUUCCAAAAAUUGGAACCGUGUUCAAUGACUUUCAUUUUGCCUGCUACAUCAAUCACACACAGUUCGCUCUAGCAAACCGUCGCCCCAAAAUUCUUUGCGGGACAGAAAACCAUAACCACCCAAUUCAAAAAAGAAAAAGAAAACCCUCAUCAUCCCCACGUCACAAAAACCCUCACCCCGCCCGCCACCUCCUCGGCCCCUCCGGUACAUUCCCCAUUCACACCUGCACAAGCUCCUCCGCGUCUAUGCCAUGGCACCGCCUAUCGCGGAGGUAAACACUUAGCUCGACACAUGUCGCCGCCGCCAGGCUGCUAGCAAAGUCCACCGCAUUUCGCCACUUCCGCUUGGCGCCGCCUAUCGCCAUCGACUUUCUCGACGUUGCUCGCGGUCAACCCAGCUCCGCUCGGUUGGGGAAUCUGCCUACCGAGGGUUCUUUCUCAUGGACGACAAGGUAACUAAUUUAACGAGAUAUUAUACCAUCUCUUAUCCCAGUUCAUCUGCCUCCUUUGAUCACCCGACGGAAAUUGCCGUGAAUUCAUUUUUGUUCGAGCUGAUUUGAGGGUUUUCUUCCAUUCAUAGAAUGUACAGUGCGCUGACACUUCAGGACUUGGCGACCGCCGCCAGAGAUUCCAUCUCAUCGUACUAGAUAACUUGAGGACGCACGCGGUAUGUUCAAUCUCACCCUAAAUCAGUUGGCAUGGCCUACUUUCCUGAACAUAUUCUAAAUAUUGCUACAUUUGGAUAAAAGGUGCCACAUGCACCAUAUACAUCAAAGGGGAUUUUUCCCCUCUUCUUUCUAUAUUAGGCAAAUUAAUGAUGUAUUGUUCAUUUGAUUACUCUCAUAUUUCCAUGACAUCAUGUUUACCCUAUCUGUUUAAUUAUAGACUUGUGUCUUUCGAUUUCAACUGCUAUACAGUUCUUUCAAUUUGGGCCCAUAUUUGCAUGUUACCAUAUUUUCUUUAACAAUCCUACCAUUUUCUGCAGGACAUCCCUCGCUAUGCAAUAGACUAUGUAGUGCAUAAUUUUCCCUUUACUUACAUCAAGGCUCCACAAAUGUCAUAGUGCACACAAACCAUGGAUUUACAAUAGUUGAUACUGUAAGACUUGAUGAACGUGGUGACUCCUAUUUUGGCACUGGCUUUUGGAAUGAAAUUGCAAAGUUUUAUGUACUGAAAGCUCGCACUAAAAUUGCACUGCACAUAGAAGGGCCUGAUCAUGAGAUAUAUGCUAACUUCCCCGACAAAAUCAUCCGUCCAGACUUUGUUCGAAGUAAGUUUUCUUUUCAACUAUCUACAUAUGUUGACUUACCCAGCAAUGUCAAAUGAAUUGUGUAGUAUUUAAGCGGCCAAUUGUUAUUCCCUUUUCUUACUAUAUCCCUACCUAAUAACUUCUAGUUACCAAUACACUUUUCUAUUGCCCUGUUUUAACUAAAUAUUCCCUGUACUCCCAUUUCCAUCAGAAAGCGCCGCUGACAAGGAGACUCUGGAGGUGGAGAACGGGGCUGCCAACAAGCGAAGGCGGGGCGAGCUAGAACCGCAAGUGACUCCAGCAGGCCUAGACUUAAUCAGCAGCCUCCCCGAUGAUAUGUUGAGAGUCAUCAUCUCCCUCCUCCCAAUCAAAUAUGGGGUGCGGACAACCCUCUUUUCCCGGCGGUGGCGCCCCUAUGGAACUCCAGCCCUCUCGACCUCAUCGACACCCACGAGCUCUUCCAUGGCUAUCGCAAAAGCUUGGAUGCAUUCUCCAAGAUGCUUGGCAGUCACCUUGGCCCAACCAAAGGCCUUAGAAUGGGCAAGUUCCGUUCCAACGGCAAGGACCGAGCCAAGCUUGACGACUGGUUUCGAUCCCCCGCCCUAGAUCAGAUCGAGGAGCUCACUUUUGAUGAUGGGAAAAUGCGGUCGCCGCCAACAUCCGCACUCUGCCUCGCGCCCAUGCAUCCGCGUCGCCAAGUUCAGGAACUAUCAUUUCCCACCCCUUAAUGACGUGCCCGCUCUUAUUCUACCAUGACUGAAGCACCUCGAGCUCGUCGUCGUCUGCCUCUCAAAAGGUGACAUGGAGCGCCUGCUCCAUGGCUGUACUGCACUCGAGUACCUUCGUCUUCAGGCGAUCAAUGGGUUGAGUAUCUUCCACAUCACCUCCAUGACUUUCCGGACUAUUUAUGUGUGUUGCUGGUGCGCCAGGAAGACAUCACAAAAGGUGGACCACGGUAUGGUCAUCCAGGACACACCUGCACUUGAGAGAUUACUUGUAAUUGAUCAAGAAGGUCCAACAAGAAUCAAUUUCAUUUCUGCACCGAAAUUGACAGUGGUGGGCUACUCGUCUAACAAAUACUCCGAACUUGUUAUUGGAUCCACACCCGUUCAGGUACAACAGCCACCUUCUACCUCUCCUUCUACAAAUUAACAUUAUUUCUAAUUUUGAAGAUGUUUGUUCGUCUAUCAUUCAGAAAAUGAUUCCGACAAGCUUGACCCCGAAACUGCGCACAGUGAAGGUCUUGGCACUAGAAUCUAUCGGGCCCGACCUGGAGCAAGUUGUCAGUUUCCUGAGGUGCUUUACGUGCCUGGAGAAGCUAUAUAUCGAGGUGAUGUUCCUUUCCUGUUAAAUGUUAACCAUAAGGGAGUUCAAUUUGUGAAACCUUUUUCCAAGUUUACAAUGACAAUGUACUACAAUUUCUGAAGGUUCUUUUGGAGGAUUUCAGUACAUACAUNNNNNNNNNNNNNNNNNNNNNNNNNNNNNNNNNNNNNNNNNNNNNNNNNNNNNNNNNNNNNNNNNNNNNNNNNNNNNNNNNNNNNNNNNNNNNNNNNNNNNNNNNNNNNNNNNNNNNNNNNNNNNNNNNNNNNNNNNNNNNNNNNNNNNNNNNNNNNNNNNNNNNNNNNNNNNNNNNNNNNNNNNNNNNNNNNNNNNNNNNNNNNNNNNNNNNNNNNNNNNNNNNNNNNNNNNNNNNNNNNNNNNNNNNNNNNNNNNNNNNNNNNNNNNNNNNNNNNNNNNNNNNNNUGGUUACAUUCAAUAAGCAUUUCUCCUUUGGACUCAUCUAUACUAGUUUUCUUAGGGAACUUUUCAUCCACUCCAACCUCUUGUGAAGAAGGCUACAUUUUUCUAGAAUGUAAUCAAAUGCCCAUGUUAAUUAUGUCAGAUGAAGAUGGCAUGUUAGUGCAUUUUACGAAUCCUGCAAACCAAAUAGCUAGGCAUGUAGUAAUGUUCAAAACUGCAUGUAGGCACUAACAUGUUUUCUUCUUUUGUAGAUAAGAUUAGGACCAAUGGUGGAUAAUGUGAUACAAUAUAACAAUCACGUCGAAUGCCUAGAUCUACAUCUCUCGGAAAUUACUGUGAACUCCUACGAGGGACCUUACCGGAGAUUAUAUUUGCUAGGUUCUUUGUUCUUAGAGCAAGGGUGCUGAAGGAAAAGAGGUUUGCCCUACAUUUGUUUCGCAAAAAUGAAUGGUCUGUUGAUCAGCGCCGGCGCCUGCGGCAGAAUGGAGUAGGCUCCAAAAAGGCUGAAUUUCAUUUUGAAACUUCAGAUGACAGAGUAAUCGAAAGUCAUCGGGUCAACCCCAUACAUGACUUCUCAGUGGCUGACCCCUUUGCAAAAAUUGUGAGGUUUCGAAGCCAGACUUAGAAGCGGUGAUAAUAGUUUGAAUCUCUCUGAUAUCCAUGCUCAACGCAUCAGCGCGAGCGUUUGCAGCUGAUGAGCUCAAUUUCAUUUCUAAUAUCAGUUUGAACCUUGUAAUCUUCGAAUUUGAGCCAUAUAACUCUGGAAUUUGAACCUUGUAACAUUUCGAGCUUUUGUGGUACAAUCGUUGAAAUGGCAUCGUAUGAGACUCGUAUAUUGCUAGUGCUAUUUUGACCUUAAUAUGCAAUGGUCUUAGAUUUUAUUAACCAUUCUCGAAUCAGUUUACCUUGUCGAUCUCACAGCACACGAUCUGUAUAGCUAACUCGACUGCGAUCUUCGACAAUAUUGCACACAGUUGGUUUCUUCCACCGUGUGCACUUUAGAGCGCAGAAUUAGUUAUCGCACUCGACUGUCCAUCAUCACCCUUCUGUGUAACUUUGACCUCAUUACCCAAGGGUAAACUUAUGACCGAAGUCGUUCCAUACACUUUGUUUUUACAAAGCUUUUUGCCAGUAAACGCCCAUGAUUUGUCCCUCUUCUAGCCGACGAGUGGCCAAACUAGCCGAGAGGGAAGCUUGCGUGGUAAACAGCGCAGUAGCGCGUGAACAGGCUCUUCGAGCCCAUGCGCUGGGGUGCGGUGUUGUCAAGCCUGCACUAGAUUCUGGAAUCCUCCGCUAUGAAUGUCGUGACAAGACAUGACGAUUACAGGCCGGCCGACCCCCAUUUAUUACAGCGGCCAUUUUAACCUACUCUUGUGUCUCUUCAACCUUUCGAUCGUGGCCCACCAUUGCAACAAGCACACCCACCAUGAGAAAUUCUUAGAGGGUAUCCUGCGGGGCUCCAAUGGCGCUCCGAGCGACUGCCGAUGACAAGCAGCAGUUCACCAUGCGUGCCGUGGUGGACACCCAUAGAAGGUUCAUGGACCUCUCGGUGGUGUACACCAACGACCCGGUCUGGGUGGAGCACUCCAUCCACAUCAUGGAGCUGUUGCUUGCCGAGGAGAAGUACAAGGUGGUCGGGUUCGACCUCGAGUACACCCGCGCUCGUGCCGGGUCUCGUCCCAAGGUCGUUGUUGCCCAGAUGUGCAUGCGCCACCACGUCCUUGUCUACCACUACUGCGUGGCCAUAAAGCCUUGCGAGCAUUUCUCCAGGUUUGUCAACAGCCCCCACUACAUGUUCGCUACGGUGGACAUCACCAACAAUGUAAAGGCGCUCGAGAAUUUGGGCAUCGCCUGCCAGAAUCUUGUCGACAUCCAGGGCCAAUACAAGAUCCGAGGAAGCAAGGAGCAUGAGAAGGACUCACUGGUUCACCUCGCCGAGGCCAUCAUCGACCCCUACUACAGAGACAUGAAGGAUUCGUGCAACAAGGACAAGCGUGCCUGGCACUCGGCCUGGAUGGAGAAACUCGACAAAGCUCAUGUCGUGUACGCGGCCAAGGAGGCGUACACGAGCUACGACAUGUACAGGUGGAUCAUUGACAUGAGGAAGUCCCUCCUUCCCCAAAACGGCCAGGGAUCUAGCUGGAAGCAGAGCAAUGGCAAGCGUCUUCGCAACAAUAAGUAGAUGAUUAGAUCCUCGUUUCUCCUACUUUAGUAUGCAUGUAAUUGCUUUCUUUGAUGUGUGGAAAUGUUGUGUCUAGUUCCUUGUGUAAUUAUAUGCUUAAUUUGGUUAUGCAAUGCUGUCUUUUUAAGUAUAUAUGUUGAUGUUAUAGAUCGAGCGUAGAUGUUGUGCGGACAAAGAAAAUCACAUCGCACACGGACUAAACAAUGAAACCCGUCGGUGAUGUUUUCAUCAAUCACUCACAAUUGUAUACCAGCAAUCGUUUUCUCACAACACACACAGCUUGUUAGCAGUAAUCGUUUGUGUUGUUAUCGGUGUUCGCACACGUAUCCGAUUACAGGCCUGUUUGCCUCGUAUCACACACAUCUUGUUCAUUUGAACCGUUUCUGUUCUCAUGUCUCAACGCAAACAGUUCAUCCGAGUGAACUGCAUGUCGUAUAUCGCACACACCUUUGAUCUGGCUGACCGUUUCUUUUGUGUUACCUAAUCACAAACAGUUCAUCCGAGUGAACCGUAUGCUGUCUAUUGCACACGCCUUCAUCUGGCUGCCCGUUUCUUUUGUUCCUCCUCAUCGCAAAUAGUUCAAUGAACUGAGGCGUAUGCCCUUCAUCGCACAUGCAAAUUAAACUUGAACCGUGUUUGAUGCAUCCGUCAUCGCAAACGUUUUAUACAUUUCUGACGGUUUUCAUACAGCACCGUUUGCGAUUAUUACAUCGCACACAGUUUCUCGAAGGGUCUCUGAUUGUAGUGUCGCAUUAGCAGCAUCCUACAGUAGUGAUAUGAAGGAUUGGAAUAUCACCAAAAAACUAGCCAUGGUCGCGAGAUCUUUUGUUUCACCUCUAGCCUACCCCAACUUGUUUGGGACUAAAGGCUUUCUUCUUCUUGUUACAAUGACGCGGCAGGUAACAUUUUCUCCAACUUCAUCCCUACAUGUUCGUUUAAUGCAGCGUGCCCUUUUUAAAGUCGAAUUUUUUAUAAUAUGCGGUGUGCAUGGGCAUCUCCAACGGUCACCCAACAUGGUACCACAUUGGUCUGUGGACCAGUCCGGACGUCCCUUUCUUGCAAACCGGAAGCAAACACGGGGGAGGAGGGCUCUGCGGGAGUCCGGCCCACCACCACCUAGGACUCUGACACCCUCGGCCCACUCAAAUCCCCCUUCCGGUCCACUUCGCCCAUGCUCACCCCCUGCUUUGCAUCUGCACCCUCCUCGUCCAACGUCGUAGCUUUACCUUUUCGGCCACCGCCCAGGCAUCAUAGGACGUCUGUAGCCCCCACCAAUGCGCCUGCCCUCCUUGGACUACACCGUCGUCCACCCGGGAUCCCUUCGCUCAGUUACCCUCCGCCGCCCUGUCGACGACGUCCAUGGAGGACAUCACGCCCGACAAGUAUUCGGUCAAAUGCCAUCGAGCUUUUAGUUGAACUUCUUGUUGUUUUCUAGACUAAGCACGAUGGCUAGCUACUUGAUGAAGGAGGAUGAGUUGUUGUGAAAUGUAUGGUUAACCAUAUCUGCGAACUUUGUAGGCAGGACUCAAGGGGCUCGAUCUUUUGGCAGCGCGUGGAUGGUUCAUUUCAUGCAUGAAAGCACUACGCCCUACGACAUGCACAUCAUCCAUGAUCGUAAGUUUUGCUUUCUGAUGCUCUACAUGUUGGUUACUUCAUUCAUUCACUCAAUGUUGCUCUACACGUUGGUUACUUCAUUCAUUCACUUAAUGUUACUCUACACAUUGUAUAUCCUACACGCUCUGCCGUGAUGUACUACAGGACCAAGGGCAGGCCCCAUUCACGCACAUACAUUGUUGGAUAAAGCUCAAGAGGCAGCCUGUGUGGGACGACGUGUGCCAGCUGUGAUUCUAGUAUCGCUGAAUGUGGAAUCGGUUAAUUCAAAAAACUUGUUGAACAUCCGGUCAUCUCAGAUGUAAUAUUUACAUUUGAACUAUUGUUGUACUAGAAAUAUUUGCAUGAUAUUUAUGGAUGAAUUGUGCUAUUUUUUAUAAUUACUUUGAGUGUUGUAAAAUUAGAAAAAAAAAAGGAGAAACAACAUGAAGUUUUUUUGUUAAGCAGACAAAACAUAGUCCAUUUUAUGUAAAUUAUGUCCGGACUUUGCUAAACUCAGUCAGGUUUCAUGAAAUUCGUCCGGUUUCUUUAAAAUUAUUUUGAAACGGUUUCUUUAAACUUGUCUUGAAAUGGAUGCAGAUAAGCGUUUGAGACGCCCUAAAUGUUUGCCUGGACAGCGUUGGAGAUGCCUUGAAUGUUUAGCAAAAAAGAGUCCGGUGCCAGUGGCACCGGUGGUGCGAUGGCAGAAACAGCUUGGACUAGACGCAGGCACCCAACUACUCCCUCCGUCCGAGAAUACUUGUCAUAGAAAUGGAUACAAAUGGAUGUAUCUAGAACUAAAAUACAUCUAGAUACAUCCAUUCCUCGGACAAGUAUUUCCGGACGGAGGGAGUACAUGGCAGCACAGCACAUCACAGACAGCACCAAUCCCUACAACCGCUUCCCGAACGCAACCAAGCACAAAAGAGAAAAGUGGGAAAGCAGCUGAAACCCCAUCUGACCCACUGCAACGCAGCUGCGCCACAACGUCACUCACUGACACCCCGCGGACCCACGCCACGCCAUGCGCGCAGCGAGCGGAGAAUGGGAGUAGGAGUGGACGAAACGUGAGAAGACAUCCCAUGUGCACUCGCAGGGCCCACACUGCAGGCGUCACCCCUCCCGCCUCUUUUCCAGCUGGGAGGAAUGCCGCCCUGUCCCGCCAACCGCCACGCCCACUUCUACCAGUGCGUCGACCCCAACAAAUCUUUUCGUUGCAAAAUACUACCAAUACAACUCAUCACAACUACUAGUGGCACUAAAAAGAGAAGCUCUUCGGUUUAAAAAAAACAACGAUUCAUUCUGCAACGGGUUUUAAUAAGACAUCGGUUCUUCACUCCUUUCAUGGCAAAAAAGAAAAGAAAAAUUGAAACUGGAAGGACGAUAGGAAGUUCGGAACACACACACAACACGAACUCUCUCCUACGGCUGAUUGAUGAUUUUCUUCUAAAACUUCACAAAGCAGCUAGUAGAAGACUAAAAAUUACUACUCUACUAUUGACGGAUUUUAAAACAAGAACACCCCCACCAAAAAUCACCAGAAGUGAUCCCAAAAAACGGACAGUCUGAUCUCCCACGGAAAAAAAAAAACAAGAGACCUGAACCACCACCAUCGACUCCCUCGAUCUCGCCACCACCGCUGUACANNN